Molecule: transfer RNA, 57 nt
Filed under: Cricetulus griseus (Chinese hamster)
Lineage: Eukaryota; Metazoa; Chordata; Mammalia; Rodentia; Cricetidae
Rfam family: tRNA
About the family: Transfer RNA (tRNA) molecules are approximately 80 nucleotides in length.
Source: Rfam by way of RNAcentral
UAGCUCAGUAGCAGAGUUCUUGCCUUGAAUGUAUGAGGUCCUGGGUUUGAUUCCCAG